CUACGGGGGGCACCAGUAAGGAAUAUUGCACAAUGGGCGAAAGCCUGAUGCAGCAACGCCGCGUGAGCGAUGAAGCCUCUAGGGGUGUAAAGCUCUUUUCUGUGGGACGAGGAAGGACGGUACCACAGGAAUAAGUCUCGGCUAACUACGUGCCAGCAGCCGCGGUAAUACGUAGGAGACGAGCGUUAUCCGGAUUUAUUGGGCGUAAAGAGCAUGUAGGCGGGCUCUCAAGUCGGACGUGAAAUCUCUCGGCUCAACUGAGAGGGGUCGUUCGAAACUAGGAGUCUUGAGGGCAGGAGAGGGGAGUAGAAUUCCCGGUGUAGUGGUGGAAUACGUAGAUAUCGGGAGGAAUACCAGUGGCGAAGGCGGCUCCCUGGCCUGUGCCUGACGCUGAGAUGCGAAAGCGUGGGUAGCGAACGGGAUUAGAUACCCUGGUAGUC
Molecule: ribosomal RNA, 440 nt
Filed under: uncultured bacterium
Lineage: Bacteria
Description: partial 16S ribosomal RNA
Rfam family: Bacterial small subunit ribosomal RNA
Source: RNAcentral